GAUGAACGCUAGCGAUAGGCUUAACACAUGCAAGUCGAGGGGCAGCACAAGGUAGCUUGCUAUCUGGGUGGCGACCGGCGCACGGGUGCGUAACGCGUAUGCAACUUGCCCUAUACAGGGGGAUAACCCGUCGAAAGACGGACUAAUACUGCGUAUGCUCACAACUUGGCAUCAAGUGGUGAGGAAAGGAAUUCGGUAUAGGGAAGGCCUGCGUCCCAUUAGCUUGUUGGUGAGGUAACGGCCCACCAAGGCAACGAUGGGUAGGGGAACUGAGAGGUUUAUCCCCCACACUGGUACUGAGACACGGACCAGACUCCUACGGGAGGCAGCAGUGAGGAAUAUUGGUCAAUGGGCGCGAGCCUGAACCAGCCAAGUCGCGUGAAGGAUGACUGUCUUAUGGAUUGUAAACUUCUUUUAUACGGGAAUAACAAGAGUCACGUGUGACUCCCUGCAUGUACCGUAUGAAUAAGCAUCGGCUAACUCCGUG
This 487-nucleotide ribosomal RNA is filed under the name uncultured bacterium. Its description in RNAcentral is "partial 16S ribosomal RNA". It matches the Rfam family "Bacterial small subunit ribosomal RNA", at positions 28 to 507 of the family's 1533-position model. The record is from RNAcentral.